UUGGCUCAGGAUGAACGCUGGCGGCAGGCUUAACACAUGCAAGUCGAACGAAGCACUGAAGAAUGGAGAUUCGUCAAAGUUCUUCUUUGACUGAGUGGCGAACGGGUGAGUAAUGCGUGAGCAACCUGCCCUUCAGAGGGGGACAACAGUUGGAAACGACUGCUAAUACCGCAUGACGUAUCCGGAUGGCAUCAUCUGGAUACCAAAGGAGAAAUCCGCUGAGGGAUGGGCUCACGUCUGAUUAGCUAGUUGGUAGGGUAACGGCCUACCAAGGCUGCGAUCAGUAGCCGGACUGAGAGGUUGAACGGCCACAUUGGGACUGAGAUACGGCCCAGACUCCUACGGGAGGCAGCAGUGGGGAAUA
Molecule: ribosomal RNA, 364 nt
Filed under: uncultured rumen bacterium
Lineage: Bacteria
Description: bacterial SSU rRNA
Rfam family: Bacterial small subunit ribosomal RNA
Source: RNAcentral